This 468-nucleotide ribosomal RNA is filed under the name uncultured bacterium. Its description in RNAcentral is "partial 16S ribosomal RNA". It matches the Rfam family "Bacterial small subunit ribosomal RNA", at positions 28 to 507 of the family's 1533-position model. The record is from RNAcentral.
GACGAACGCUGGCGGCGUGCUUAACACAUGCAAGUCGAACGGAAAGGCCCUGCUUUUGUGGGGUGCUCGAGUGGCGAACGGGUGAGUAACACGGGAGUAACCUGCCCUUGACUUUGGGAUAACUUCAGGAAACUGGGGCUAAUACCGGAUAGGAGCUCCUGCUGCAUGGUGGGGGUUGGAAAGUUUCGGCGGUUGGGGAUGGACUCGAGGCUUAUCAGCUUGUUGGUGGGGUAGUGGCUUACCAAGGCUUUGACGGGUGGCCGGCCUGAGAGGGUGACCGGCCACAUUGGGACUGCGAUACGGACCAGACUCCUACGGGAGGCAGCAGUGGGGAAUAUUGCACAAUGGGCGGAAGCCUGAUGCAGCAACGCCGCGUGCGGGAUGACGGCCUUCGGGUUGUAAACCGCUUUCGCCUGUGACGAAGCGUGAGUGACGGUAAUGGGUAAAGAAGCACCGGCUAACUACGUG